UCUGCCUCCCUGGUCAGUUAGACGUCACACCGUCAGCACACAGCACACAGCUCUGCAAGGGUGAGGACCACCCGUUCACUCCCAGGCCCAGGCCCCCCUCCCACCGCACAUAAGCCUCAUGGCUGGUGAAGUCUGCACCAGCAAGGCAAUGGUGAUCAGUUUCAUUUCCAGGUUUCUGCUGAGGCUAGCUCCCUGCCCUGUGGCCUGGCCCUCUGAGCACCUUACCCGGACAACCUUUGGAAUCAGAACUGGACUGGACCAAGCGCAGUGUGGACUGGAGUCCUGAUCUGUCACUUCCUUUCGAGCCAUAUCACCGAGUAACAAGUUAACAGAGAAUGUGUUUUUCAUCAGGGACUUACUAACAAAGACCUUUAAACCUGGCUAAAAAUUAACAAUGGAAAUUACAUUAUUAAACUGGAAACUUGCUGUUGACUAACACAACUCUAAAAGAGGCUUUGAAUGAGGGGGCUUUUCUAGAAUCAAGAAAGCAUGGAGAAUUAUUGCCUUCUACCUGUCUCCCUGCCGGCUUCCUCCUCACCCUGUCUCCCACCCCAUAAUGCAGAUCCACUCUUGGAUUAACUUGAGAACAUCCCGGGGACAGUGCAAUCAUCAGCCAUACUCCGGGCCUUAAAUCAACUUUGGGUGUGGGUUUCUUAAUCACUUACUUAGAAUGGGUAAAGUUCUCAACCAUUUAAAAAAAAAUUCUAUUGGUUUUUUACUUGAGAUGGUGGCAUCAGCCUCUAAAAAUGUUAAAAUACUACCGAACUGUAAUAUUUUGGAUGCAUUCAGUUGAGUAUUUAUUUUACUACCCACUUGAAAGAGUCAAAUCAGGUUACAUAUAAUGUCUCUGAAAACAUGGGACAAAGUAAUAGCUAACUAAAACUUGGUAACUUUGAACUUUGUAUAUUUAUGCAUAGGUCUGAUACUUAUUCUAACUUAACUUUUCACAUGGUAGCUAAGUCAGCCUUUUUAUGACUUAUUGAUACUGAUUUCUUACCUUUAACCUCAUAUAAAAGGUGGGUUCCACCCAUGCCUAUACUUCAAUUAAAUACAUCUGACCAU
Molecule: long non-coding RNA, 1062 nt
Organism: Mustela erminea (ermine)
Lineage: Eukaryota; Metazoa; Chordata; Mammalia; Carnivora; Mustelidae
Exons: 4
Source: RefSeq, a predicted model, not a curated record